GUGUCUUCCUGGCGGUAUGGUCACUUUGUGCUGAGCCCUCAGGUGACAUCCUGGCUGUCUCUGGCUUUUCUGCUGAAACCGGGUUUGCAUACUGCCAUGCUCCUUCCUGUGGCUACAUCUCCUUAGAGGGCUUGUUGCUUUUGCUGUCCCCUUGGCAGACACCCCUGGGAAGUCUUUGUGAUCUCUUGUUUCUGGCUUCAAACAGCUCUUGGGCUGCUGACCUACUGCUGUUUUGCAUCACCAAUGACUUAGCAGCAAAGAUAACGGAUAUUGUGCCAGUGACAGAAUUGAAAAAACAAAUAUAUACAGUAUUUCUGCAUUUGUAUAUUUUUCAGGUUUGCCCCGUGGACUUGUGGUUCCCUCUGCUGCUCUUCCCUGACUACCUGCUAAUCCUACUUAUCAGUGCUGCCCUCUCCCCCUUACAUGCUGCUCCCUUUGGCUGGAACACUAUUCUUGAAUGGAGAGUCCCUCCUGGGCCUGGUGCCACCUCAUCAGCCAUCUGAUUUCACUUCCUCAGGAAUUCCCCCAAUUAGACGGCAUUCUUCUGAUUACGCAUUCACAACACCCCAUACUGUUCUCUUGUAGAACUUAUCACAGUUUAUAACAAUAUUUGUGUGAUUAUUUUAUUCAAAUCUUCCUCCCACAGUAAAAUGCAACCUCUGUGAUUUUAUGCAUUCUGUUUGGGACCAUUCCUGUUUGGUUCUCCAUUGUACCCUCAGAACUUAAUGCAGUCAUCUAUGUAAUGAAUACCUUCGAAUGAAUAAAUGAUGAGAGAAGAUACUUGUUGAAAUCUUUUCAGAAAUACCUAAAAUGUGAUUUGUAAAUGUAUUAGUGAUGAGGAUAACAAUAAAAAUCAAAUUUAUAAAAAAAUUCCAAGGACCUUCUAAUUAAAG
Molecule: long non-coding RNA, 893 nt
Filed under: Homo sapiens (human)
Lineage: Eukaryota; Metazoa; Chordata; Mammalia; Primates; Hominidae
Description: HSALNT0091239
Source: RNAcentral